Molecule: long non-coding RNA, 1408 nt
Filed under: Sus scrofa (pig)
Lineage: Eukaryota; Metazoa; Chordata; Mammalia; Artiodactyla; Suidae
Description: lncRNA (ENSSSCG00065017864.1)
Source: RNAcentral
GGCAGAGGGUGGGAGGAGACGGGCUGGCCGAGGGGCAGAGAAAAGGCAGGAAGGAAGCUGAUAUAAAAAAAAAAAAAUCUAUCUUGAGAAACAAUUCCUCUCCAUCUUUAAACCUAUGAAACUCAAAAAAUAAAAUCUGCUCUUGAAAUCUAAUGAUUAGACAGGCAUAGAAUACCAGUUAUAGACAUUCUGGCUAAAAGGGGAGAAAAUUUAAAGGAAAAAAGAAGUCACUAGUUCAAAAUAUUUUCAAAAUUCAGCUGUUUAAACUUCCUUUGUAUUACAUAAAAUUAAUUAUUAUUAUAUAAAUAUUAUUUUAUUUAAUGAUGGGAUUAUAGUAUUUCUUUGUGUGUGUAAUAAAACUUGAAACAAUCUUACAACAAAUUUAAUUGCUUAAUCCUUACCUUCCUCCGAGUUAACCUGACAAGUAAACUUUGAUUGUUUUUUUCUAUAAGUAUUUUAGACAUUAAGUUGCCACAUAUUACAUGUUUAUUUUGGUUUAGCUGUGUGUUCCUGGGAUCAAUNUUUUUUUUUUUUUUUUUUUUUUUUUUAUGUCUUUUUAGGCCACACUCGCAGCACAUGGAUGUUCCCAGGAUGGGGUCGAAUCGGAGCUGUUGCUGCUGGCCUACGCUAGAGCCACAGCAAGGCCAGAUCUAGCCAUGUCACGGCAACACCUGAUCCUUAAACCUACUGAGCAUGGCCAGGGAUUGAACCCUCAAUCUCAUGGUUCUAGUUGGAUUCGUUUCCUCUGUGCCACGACAGGAACUCCAGAAUUGGAUACCUUUAAUAUCUUCAUGGAAACUUCAUUUUGGCCUUUUGUCAAGUAUUUGGUGAAGUGCCUGACAUCUCAUUGGUGUUCUACAAACGUUCACCAAAAUAAACAGUGACUCGAAACAUCUGGACAAGAAGAUAAAAUUAAAAAAAAAAAAAAAAACAACAAAGUAGAGGCAUGGCUACCUUCAGUAAGUCCUGAACAGGAAUGCACCAGGCUCAGGCAAUGCCUGUGGCCUCAGGGUUACCCUAAGAGAUAAGAAGGCAAAGGACACAUGACCUUGACUACUUUAUUCCCCUCUUGCACACUGUGAAUGGACCAAACCUAUGUCUGGACCCACCCAAAAGGGAAAACUAUGUUGGACUCAGGUAUGUCGGGGAUGAGAGAGCGAGGUUAGAAUUUGACACCCAAGAAAGAAGAGGUGGAAUAGUGGUUGGAUGUGCGUUUGACAUUUUCUGUCAUUGCUGCCCUUUUCUUCCCUCACAACAUGGUUCUUUGAGCAGGAAGACCCAGGGGAACAUGGCUAGGGAGUAACACAGUUAUUACCUUAAGACAAAGAAAUGAAAGAUACAGAAGAAUCUAAUUCAUGUAUCAAUGCUCACUUGUAACCACUGAAUAAACUUUGGAUGUGACCCUCCA